GACGUAGGAUGCAAGCGUUGUCCGGAUUUAUUGGGCGUAAAGAGUUCGUAGGUGGUUUGUUAAGUCUGAUGUUAAAGACUGGGGCUCAACCUCGGAAAUGCAUUGGAUACUGGCAGACUUGAGUGUGGUAGAGGCAAUCGGAAUUCCAGGUGUAGCGGUGAAAUGCGUAGGUAUCUGGAAGAACACCGGUGGCGCAAGCGGAUUGCUGGGCCAUAACUGACACUGAGGAACGAAAGCUAGGGGAGCGAAUGGG
RNAcentral lists this ribosomal RNA (253 nucleotides) under uncultured bacterium. Its description in RNAcentral is "partial 16S ribosomal RNA". It matches the Rfam family "Bacterial small subunit ribosomal RNA", at positions 524 to 776 of the family's 1533-position model. The record is from RNAcentral.